RNAcentral lists this ribosomal RNA (576 nucleotides) under uncultured bacterium. Its description in RNAcentral is "bacterial SSU rRNA". It matches the Rfam family "Bacterial small subunit ribosomal RNA", at positions 102 to 674 of the family's 1533-position model. The record is from RNAcentral.
ACGGGUGAGUAAUGUCUGGGAAACUGCCCGAUGGAGGGGGAUAACUACUGGAAACGGUAGCUAAUACCGCAUAACGUCGCAAGACCAAAGAGGGGGACCUUCGGGCCUCUUGCCAUCGGAUGUGCCCAGAUGGGAUUAGCUAGUAGGUGGGGUAACGGCUCACCUAGGCGACGAUCCCUAGCUGGUCUGAGAGGAUGACCAGCCACACUGGAACUGAGACACGGUCCAGACUCCUACGGGAGGCAGCAGUGGGGAAUAUUGCACAAUGGGCGCAAGCCUGAUGCAGCCAUGCCGCGUGUAUGAAGAAGGCCUUCGGGUUGUAAAGUACUUUCAGCGAGGAGGAAGGUGUUGAGGUUAAUAACCUCAGCAAUUGACGUUACUCGCAGAAGAAGCACCGGCUAACUCCGUGCCAGCAGCCGCGGUAAUACGGAGGGUGCAAGCGUUAAUCGGAAUUACUGGGCGUAAAGCGCACGCAGGCGGUCUGUCAAGUCGGAUGUGAAAUCCCCGGGCUCAACCUGGGAACUGCAUCCGAAACUGGCAGGCUAGAGUCUUGUAGAGGGGGGUAGAAUUCCAGGU